CAUCCUCCAAGGCUAAAUACUCCUGACUGACCGAUAGUGAACCAGUACCGUGAGGGAAAGGCGAAAAGAACCCCGGCGAGGGGAGUGAAAAAGAACCUGAAACCGUGUACGUACAAGCAGUGGGAGCACAGGUUUACCUGUGUGACUGCGUACCUUUUGUAUAAUGGGUCAGCGACUUAUAUUCUGUAGCAAGGUUAACCGAAUAGGGGAGCCGGAGGGAAACCGAGUCUUAAUUGGGCGUUAAGUUGCAGGGUAUAGACCCGAAACCCGGUGAUCUAGCCAUGGGCAGGUUGAAGGUUGGGUAACACUAACUGGAGGACCGAACCGACUAAUGUUGAAAAAUUAGCGGAUGACCUGUGGCUGGGGGUGAAAGGCCAAUCAAACCGGGAGAUAGCUGGUUCUCCCCGAAAGCUAUUUAGGUAGCGCCUCGUGAAUUCAUCUCCGGGGGUAGAGCACUGUUUCGGCUAGGGGGCCAUCCCGGCUUACCAACCCGAUGCAAACUGCGAAUACCGGAGAAUGUUAUCACGGGAGACACACGGCGGGUGCUAACGUCCGUCGUGAAGAGGGAAACAACCCAGACCGCCAGCUAAGGUCCCAAAGUCAUGGUUAAGUGGGAAACGAUGUGGGAAGGCCCAGACAGCCAGGAUGUUGGCUUAGAAGCAGCCAUCAUUUAAAGAAAGCGUAAUAGCUCACUGGUCGAGUCGGCCUGCGCGGAAGAUGUAACGGGGCUAAACCAUGCACCGAAGCUGCGGCAGCGACGCUUAUGCGUUGUUGGGUAGGGGAGCGUUCUGUAAGCCUGUGAAGGUGUGUCGUGAGGCAUGCUGGAGGUAUCAGAAGUGCGAAUGCUGACAUAAGUAACGAUAAAGCGGGUGAAAAGCCCGCUCGCCGGAAGACCAAGGGUUCCUGUCCAACGUUAAUCGGGGCAGGGUGAGUCGACCCCUAAGGC
Molecule: ribosomal RNA, 946 nt
Filed under: Salmonella enterica subsp. enterica serovar Dublin
Lineage: Bacteria; Pseudomonadati; Pseudomonadota; Gammaproteobacteria; Enterobacterales; Enterobacteriaceae
Also listed under: 1 other name
Description: partial 23S ribosomal RNA
Rfam family: Bacterial large subunit ribosomal RNA
Source: RNAcentral